RNAcentral lists this transfer-messenger RNA (334 nucleotides) under Pleomorphomonas sp. SM30. Its description in RNAcentral is "transfer-messenger RNA, SsrA". It matches the Rfam family "Alphaproteobacteria transfer-messenger RNA". From Rfam's summary of the family: Bacterial tmRNA, also known as 10Sa RNA or SsrA, is named for its dual tRNA and mRNA-like properties. Its role is to liberate the mRNA from a stalled ribosome. To accomplish this part of the tmRNA is used as a reading frame that ends in a translation stop signal. Lineage: Bacteria; Pseudomonadati; Pseudomonadota; Alphaproteobacteria; Hyphomicrobiales; Pleomorphomonadaceae. The record is from RNAcentral.
UAUCUGACCGUGCCGGGGCAACCCGGAUAUGGCGAUAAACUGGCUGCGCAAUAAACCUAUCGGACCCGGGGGCGGUACCCGGCGCCUCCACCCGAGCCCGCGCGCGACGCGGGUUCCGGCGGGGGCGAAAUAGGAUCGACGAGGGCGUAAAGGCAGUGCGGUCGCUCGGCAUGGUUCCGCCGUCAUCGGGCCGAUCCUAUAGUUGCGAAUGACAACUAUGCUCCGGUGGCCGUCGCCGCGUAAUGCGGUGCCGGUAACGGAAAUCAAGUCCUGAGGGGUAGCACUUUCAGGCGGGGUUCGGAGGUACCUGGCAACAGAAACCUCCACUUCAUUU